CCUACGGGAGGCAGCAGUGGGGAAUAUUGCACAAUGGGCGAAAGCUGAUGCAGCGACGCCGCGUGAGGGAUGACGGCCUUCGGGUUGUAAACCUCUUUCAGCAGGGACGAAGCGCAAGUGACGGUACCUGCAGAAGAAGCACCGGCCAACUACGUGCCAGCAGCCGCGGUAAUACGUAGGGUGCGAGCGUUGUCCGGAAUUACUGGGCGUAAAGAGCUCGUAGGCGGUUUGUCGCGUCGUCUGUGAAAACCCGCAGCUCAACUGCGGGCUUGCAGGCGAUACGGGCAGACUUGAGUACUGCAGGGGAGACUGGAAUUCCUGGUGUAGCGGUGAAAUGCGCAGAUAUCAGGAGGAACACCGGUGGCGAAGGCGGGUCUCUGGGCAGUAACUGACGCUGAGGAGCGAAAGCGUGGGUAGCGAACAGGAUUAGAUACCCUGGUAGUCCACGCCGUAAACGGUGGGCGCUAGGUGUGGGUUUCCUUCCACGGGAUCCGUGCCGUAGUAACGCAUUAAGCGCCCCGCCUGGGGAGUACGGCCGCAAGGCUAAAACUCAAAGGAAUUGACGGGG
This 568-nucleotide ribosomal RNA is filed under the name aquatic bacterium STS_R2A_36. Its description in RNAcentral is "bacterial SSU rRNA". It matches the Rfam family "Bacterial small subunit ribosomal RNA", at positions 338 to 918 of the family's 1533-position model. The record is from RNAcentral. Lineage: Bacteria; Bacillati; Actinomycetota; Actinomycetes; Mycobacteriales; Nocardiaceae.